GUAGGUGAACCUGCGGAAGGAUCAUUAGUGAUUUUGAAUGGUUUUUGGGAGGUUGGGUCGAGGGGGAUUUCUGCGCUCAUCGGGUUGUUGCUGGCCUUUCUCGGGCACCGUGCACACCCGUUGACUCCGCACCUCUUUGACCUUUCCUUUUUUGCGAUCUACACCUGUGCACCUCUGUAGGUCUUUCGGGACCUAUGUUUUUAUACCUCACACCUUUGUAUGUUUUGGCGCGCAAUGUCUUUUGCGGAGCUUGCUUGAUCCGCAUCCUUCCACCGGGAAGGGUUUUGGACAAGUGAGCAAAGCAGGGGCCUAUAAAAGUUUUAUACAACUUUCAGCAACGGAUCUCUUGGCUCUC
This 355-nucleotide unclassified non-coding RNA is filed under the name rhizosphere metagenome. RNAcentral's name for it is "partial ribosomal RNA internal transcribed spacer region". The record is from RNAcentral.